Molecule: long non-coding RNA, 1535 nt
Filed under: Manacus vitellinus (golden-collared manakin)
Lineage: Eukaryota; Metazoa; Chordata; Aves; Passeriformes; Pipridae
Description: lncRNA (ENSMVIG00005001985.1)
Source: RNAcentral
CUGGUGUCCUGAGACAUCUGCAUUUACUGACCCGCUGCGAGCCCAACGUGUGCGAUGGCUGACUCGCUGUUCCUGUCUGUCUCUCCUGGCAGCUGAGUGACUGCUACAAGGGAGUGGUGUUUGAUGGCCUGGAGACCCUCUUUGCGAGCAGCCUGGCAUCUUCUCUCCUGUGCAUGCUCAAAGCUGUCAGCAAUCGCCCUCAUAUCCACGUUGUGAACAUCUUCCAGGAUUCUGAGUUUUGGAAAGGCAGGCAGAUAGCUGCAAGAGAGAAGAGGGCAGCUAAAAAAGAGCAGAAAGGUGAGAUAUCUCCACCCCUCUCAAAUCUCUCUCAAGCCCUCAACCUUAGCUGUGUGUAUCUGGGUUUGCAGCAGAGCUUGUAAGAAAUCUUUUUAUUGAUCCUUCCACCUUCUGCCUCAGUGUAGCCAGCACUCAGCUCACAGCUUCUUUACAUACAGCAGAGCUGAGGCUGUAAGACUCACCUUAAUCUCCAUCAUUAAAGCUUGGGUGCAAGUGCAAGCUGGCGUGGCUCAGUGAGCAGCCCCCAGCCAGCUGUCCACAGCCGUGGUGCACCUGAGCCAGGCCACAGUUUGGGGGGCUGUCUGAAUUCUGGAGCAGGGAUGUGAGCUCCGCAGUGUCUCCUGGCAGGGUGAGAGGCUGGGUCAGGAAAGAGCUGUGAAUCCUCCCAGCUGACCCAGAGCCCCAAGCUCUGCUCGCAGUCACUGAUGGCUUCUCUUGUGGUCUGUGCUGAAGCACGGGAGAAGGAAGAAGCUGCCCGGAGAGAGGAAGAACGUCUCUGGGAUGUGGAUGUGGACGAGUACGAAGCCCUCUCUGAGAAGCAGACAGCUCUGCUUGAUUACAAAAUAGAACAAAUCAAGCGUGAGCGGAGGGAGAGAAGGGAGCUGGAGUGGCUGGCUCGAGAGCAUAAGGAAAGCAAAAAGGCGUCAUCACGAGCCUCAGAGAAGCAAGAUGGGCAGCAAGAAACCAAAAUCCCAGAGGUGCCAAGUAAGCGGGACAGGAUCUUGGACCUGAGGUUUGACAUCUGUGAGUCUUCUCAGAAGAAGAUCAAACAUAUUCUGUCAUCCUGGGACAGGGUUCAGGGUAUCAUGAACCAAGUGCCAGACAAGUCCCACUCUUCCCCUAAACACAAAGAUGAGAAGAAGAGCAGUAAGUCUCCGGAGAAGCCAGAGGAGAAGCCUCUGAAAAAACAUGGCAGCCACAAGAGUCUUCAGCGGGAAGGGGAAGUUGCAGAAGGCUCAGUCGGAAGCCAGGAUGCCGGAGUGCCCUGCUUGGACUUCCACGUCACGCACCAUGAAAAGGUGUUUAGGAGGAUCCUGAAGAGCAAGAAGCUGCCACCAGCAAAGCAGGUAAAAGCCUGCAAGGCUCAGAUGCUGAACUUGCCGUGGUCUGGGGCCCUGGAACAGUGUGCCCCCCAGGUGAUAAGAACACAGAGCCUUGUCGAGGCCACUGAUGAUGUUCCACAAUAGCUCCACAGUAUCUCUGGGGAUGGGGAGGUUCUCAGCCUCCCUCAGAUGUGU